GAAUAUUGGACAAUGGGGGGAACCCUGAUCCAGCCAUGCCGCGUGUGUGAAGAAGGCCUUUUGGUUGUAAAGCACUUUAAGCGAGGAGGAGGCUACCUGGAUUAAUACUAUAGGAUAGUGGACGUUACUCGCAGAAUCAGCACCGGCUAACCCUGGGCCAGCAGCCCCGGUAAUACAGAGGGUGCGAGCGUUAAUCGGAUUUACUGGGCGUAAAACGUGCGUAGGCGGCCAAUUAAGUCAAAUGUGAAAUACCCGAGCUUAACUUGGGAAUUGCAUUCGAUACUGGUUGGCUAGAGAAUGGGAGAGGAUGGUAGAAUUCCAGGUGUAGCGGUGAAAUGCGUAGAGAUCUGGAGGAAUACCGAUGGCGAAGGCAGCCAUCUGGCCUAAUACUGACGCUGAGGUACGAAAGCAUGGGGAGCAAACAG
This 425-nucleotide ribosomal RNA is filed under the name uncultured bacterium. RNAcentral describes it as "partial 16S ribosomal RNA". It matches the Rfam family "Bacterial small subunit ribosomal RNA", at positions 359 to 775 of the family's 1533-position model. The record is from RNAcentral.